AUUGAACGCUGGCGGCAGGCCUAACACAUGCAAGUCGAACGGUAACAGGAAGAAGCUUGCUUCUUUGCUGACGAGUGGCGGACGGGUGAGUAAUGUCUGGGAAACUGCCUGAUGGAGGGGGAUAACUACUGGAAACGGUAGCUAAUACCGCAUAACGUCGCAAGACCAAAGAGGGGGACCUUCGGGCCUCUUGCCAUCGGAUGUGCCCAGAUGGGAUUAGCUAGUAGGUGGGGUAACGGCUCACCUAGGCGACGAUCCCUAGCUGGUCUGAGAGGAUGACCAGCCACACUGGAACUGAGACACGGUCCAGACUCCUACGGGAGGCAGCAGUGGGGAAUAUUGCACAAUGGGCGCAAGCCUGAUGCAGCCAUGCCGCGUGUAUGAAGAAGGCCUUCGGGUUGUAAAGUACUUUCAGCGGGGAGGAAGGGAGUAAAGUUAAUACCUUUGCUCAUUGACGUUACCCGCAGAAGAAGCACCGGCUAACUCCGUGCCAGCAGCCGCGGUAAUACUGAGGGUGCAAGCGUUAAUCGGAAUUACUGGGCGUAAAGCGCACGCAGGCGGUUUGUUAAGUCAGAUGUGAAAUCCCCGGGCUCAACCUGGGAACUGCAUCUGAUACUGGCAAGCUUGAGUCUCGUAGAGGGGGGUAGAAUUCCAGGUGUAGCGGUGAAAUGCGUAGAGAUCUGGAGGAAUACCGGUGGCGAAGGCGGCCCCCUGGACGAAGACUGACGCUCAGGUGCGAAAGCGUGGGGAGCAAACAGGAUUAGAUACCCUGGUAGUCCACGCCGUAAACGAUGUCGACUUGGAGGUUGUGCCCUUGAGGCGUGGCUUCCGGAGCUAACGCGUUAAGUCGACCGCCUGGGGAGUACGGCCGCAAGGUUAAAACUCAAAUGAAUUGACGGGGGCCCGCACAAGCGGUGGAGCAUGUGGUUUAAUUCGAUGCAACGCGAAGAACCUUACCUGGUCUUGACAUCCACGGAAGUUUUCAGAGAUGAGAAUGUGCCUUCGGGAACCGUGAGACAGGUGCUGCAUGGCUGUCGUCAGCUCGUGUUGUGAAAUGUUGGGUUAAGUCCCGCAACGAGCACAACCCUUAUCCUUUGUUGCCAGCGGUCCGGCCGGGAACUCAAAGGAGACUGUUAGUGAUAAACUGGAGGAAGGUGGGGAUGACGUCAAGUCAUCAUGGCCCUUACGACCAGGGCUACACACGUGCUACAAUGGCGCAUACAAAGAGAAGCGACCUCGCGAGAGCAAGCGGACCUCAUAAAGUGCGUCGUAGUCCGGAUUGGAGUCUGCAACUCGACUCCAUGAAGUCGGAAUCGCUAGUAAUCGUGGAUCAGAAUGCCACGGUGAAUACGUUCCCGGGCCU
Molecule: ribosomal RNA, 1363 nt
Filed under: uncultured bacterium
Lineage: Bacteria
Description: bacterial SSU rRNA
Rfam family: Bacterial small subunit ribosomal RNA
Source: RNAcentral